GAUGAACGCUGGCGGCGUGCCUAAUACAUGCAAGUCGAGCGAACAGACGAGGAGCUUGCUCCUCUGACGUUAGCGGCGGACGGGUGAGUAACACGUGGAUAACCUACCUAUAAGACUGGGAUAACUUCGGGAAACCGGAGCUAAUACCGGAUAAUAUAUUGAACCGCAUGGUUCAAUAGUGAAAGACGGUUUUGCUGUCACUUAUAGAUGGAUCCGCGCCGCAUUAGCUAGUUGGUAAGGUAACGGCUUACCAAGGCAACGAUGCGUAGCCGACCUGAGAGGGUGAUCGGCCACACUGGAACUGAGACACGGUCCAGACUCCUACGGGAGGCAGCAGUAGGGAAUCUUCCGCAAUGGGCGAAAGCCUGACGGAGCAACGCCGCGUGAGUGAUGAAGGUCUUCGGAUCGUAAAACUCUGUUAUGAGGGAAGACCAAAUGUGUAAGUAACUAUGCACGUCUUGACGGUACCUAAUCAGAAAGCCACGGCUAACUACGUG
RNAcentral lists this ribosomal RNA (497 nucleotides) under uncultured bacterium. Its description in RNAcentral is "partial 16S ribosomal RNA". It matches the Rfam family "Bacterial small subunit ribosomal RNA", at positions 28 to 507 of the family's 1533-position model. The record is from RNAcentral.